RNAcentral lists this ribosomal RNA (1393 nucleotides) under Bacillus sp. (in: firmicutes). RNAcentral's name for it is "bacterial SSU rRNA". It matches the Rfam family "Bacterial small subunit ribosomal RNA". The record is from RNAcentral. Lineage: Bacteria; Bacillati; Bacillota; Bacilli; Caryophanales; Bacillaceae.
GGGGCGCUAAUACAUGCAGUCGAGCGGACAGAUGGGAGCUUGCUCCCUGAUGUUAGCGGCGGACGGGUGAGUAACACGUGGGUAACCUGCCUGUAAGACUGGGAUAACUCCGGGAAACCGGGGCUAAUACCGGAUGCUUGAUUGAACCGCAGGGUUCAAUUAUAAAAGGUGGCUUCGGCUACCACUUACAGAUGGACCCCCGGCGCAAUAACUAGUUGGUGAGGUAACGGCUCCCCAAGGCCACCAUGCCUAACCCACCUGAAAGGGUGAUCGGCCCCCCUGGGACUGAAACACGGCCCAAACCCCUACGGGAGGCAACAAUAGGGAAUCUUCCCCAAUGGACGAAAGUCUGACGGAACAACCCCCCGUGAGUGAAGAAGGUUUUCGGAACGUAAAACUCUGUUGUUAGGGAAAAACAGUACCGUUCGAAUAGGGCGGUACCUUGACGGUACCUAACCAAAAAGCCCGGCUAACUACGUGCCACAGCCCCGGUAAACGUAGGUGCCAACGUUGCCGGAAUUUUGGGCUAAAGGCCGCCAGGCGUUUUUAAGUCUGAUGGAAACCCCGGCUCACCGGGAGGUCAUGGAAAUGGGGAAUUGAUGCAAAGAAGAAAUGGAAUCCCGUGUACCGUGAAUGCUAAAAUGUGGAGAACCCAGGGGCAAGGCACUUUUGGUCGUAACGACCUGGGCCGAAAGCUGGGAGGAACAGGUUAAUACCUGGUGUCCCCCCGUAACGAUGAUGUUAAGUUUAGGGGUUUCCCCCUUAGUGUGCAGCAACGCUUUAGCACUCGCCUGGGAGUAGGUCGCAAGAUGAAAUCAAGGAUUGACGGGGCCCGCCAAGCGGGGAGCAUGUGGUUAUUCGAAGCAACGGAAAACCUACCGGUUUGACUCCUUUGCAACCCUAAGAUAGGGCUUCCCUUCGGGGCAGAGUGACAGGUGGUGCAUGGUGUCGUCAGCUCGGUCGUGAGAUGUUGGGUUAAUCCCGCAACGGGCGCAACCCUUGUUUUUAGUUGCCAGCAUUCAGUUGGGCACUUUAAGGUGACUGCCGGUGACAAACCGGGGGAAGGGGGGGAGGACGUCAAAUCUUCAUGCCCCUUUUGACCUGGGCUACACACGUGUUACAAUGGGCAGAACAAAGGGCAGGGAAGCCGGGGGGUUAAGCCAAUCCCCCAAAUUUGUUUUCAGUUUGGAUCGCAGUUUGCAACUUGAUUGGGGGAAGCGGGAAUCGUUGGUAAUCGCGGAUCAGCAUGCCGCGGGGAAUACGUUCCCGGGCCUUGUACACACCGCCCGUCACACCACGGGAGUUUGUAACACCCGAAGUCGGGGAGGUAACCUUUUGGAGCCAGCCGCCGAAGGUGGGACAGAUGAUGGGGGAAAGUUGUAUCAGUGCUGGC